RNAcentral lists this ribosomal RNA (359 nucleotides) under Themira minor. RNAcentral describes it as "partial 12S ribosomal RNA". Lineage: Eukaryota; Metazoa; Arthropoda; Insecta; Diptera; Sepsidae. The record is from RNAcentral.
UAGAUACCCUAUUAUUUGAAAUGUAAAUUAUUUACUAAAGUAGUAGUAGUUAUGUUCUUGAAACUUAAAAAAUUUGGCGGUAUUUUAGUCUGUUCAGAGGAACCUGUCCUAUAAUCGAUAAUCCACGUUGGACCUAACUUAAAUUUGUUUUCAGUAUGUAUACCGUCGUUAUAAGAAUAUUUUAUAAGAAUAAUAAUUUUCUAGAUUUUUUAUAAAAAUUUAUAUCAGAUCAAGGUGCAGCUUAUAUUUAAGUAGAGAUGGGUUACAAUAAUUAUAUUUAUACGAAUUAAUUUUUGAAACAAAAUUAUGAAGGUGGAUUUGAAUGUAAAAUUAUAAAGAUUAAUAAUUUGAUUUUAGCU